Long non-coding RNA from Pseudophryne corroboree (corroboree frog), 387 nucleotides. RefSeq lists it as uncharacterized. NCBI's taxonomy places the organism in Eukaryota, Metazoa, Chordata, Amphibia, Anura, Myobatrachidae. The record is from RefSeq and is a predicted model, not a curated record. The transcript has 4 exons.
GAGGAGCAAGCUGUUGUGAGGAGACAGGAGAGGAGGAGCAGCCAGCCAGUGUGACAGCCUGCAGCACUAGCCACCAGCUACAGAGGAGCUGACACUCAGGCAUCUUCCAGACCAUGUGAUUUCCUACAUGAAUAGUAAAUACUGACUAAAGACGCUGUCUGACCAGGGAGGAUACAAUUCUUCAGAGGUUCCUCAUUAUUAAGAGAAACCACCAUAAAGAAUCAGCCUUAUGGACCAGGACAUUGACGAUUAGGCUGCAUGGGACCAGCAGCUGAGCAGAGAUGACAACAGCACUGACAGAUUAAAGUUUAAUUAUACCUGCACUGAUUUCAGUGUAUUGGCAGAGAGAACUGGGGACAUGCACAAAUAAAAAUCCAAUUCAUUUAG